This 496-nucleotide ribosomal RNA is filed under the name Lactiplantibacillus plantarum. RNAcentral describes it as "bacterial SSU rRNA". It matches the Rfam family "Bacterial small subunit ribosomal RNA", at positions 68 to 552 of the family's 1533-position model. The record is from RNAcentral. Lineage: Bacteria; Bacillati; Bacillota; Bacilli; Lactobacillales; Lactobacillaceae.
UGCAUCAUGAUUUACAUUUGAGUGAGUGGCGAACUGGUGAGUAACACGUGGGAAACCUGCCCAGAAGCGGGGGAUAACACCUGGAAACAGAUGCUAAUACCGCAUAACAACUUGGACCGCAUGGUCCGAGUUUGAAAGAUGGCUUCGGCUAUCACUUUUGGAUGGUCCCGCGGCGUAUUAGCUAGAUGGUGGGGUAACGGCUCACCAUGGCAAUGAUACGUAGCCGACCUGAGAGGGUAAUCGGCCACAUUGGGACUGAGACACGGCCCAAACUCCUACGGGAGGCAGCAGUAGGGAAUCUUCCACAAUGGACGAAAGUCUGAUGGAGCAACGCCGCGUGAGUGAAGAAGGGUUUCGGCUCGUAAAACUCUGUUGUUAAAGAAGAACAUAUCUGAGAGUAACUGUUCAGGUAUUGACGGUAUUUAACCAGAAAGCCACGGCUAACUACGUGCCAGCAGCCGCGGUAAUACGUAGGUGGCAAGCGUUGUCCGGAUUU